RNAcentral lists this ribosomal RNA (152 nucleotides) under uncultured bacterium. Its description in RNAcentral is "partial 16S ribosomal RNA". It matches the Rfam family "Bacterial small subunit ribosomal RNA", at positions 338 to 508 of the family's 1533-position model. The record is from RNAcentral.
CCUACGGGAGGCAGCAGUGGGGAAUAUUGGACAAUGGGCGAAAGCCUGAUCCAGCAAUGCCGCGUGAGUGAUGAAGGCCUUAGGGUUGUAAAGCUCUUUUACCCGGGAUGAUAAUGACAGUACCGGGAGAAUAAGNCCGGCUAACUCCGUGC